This is a long non-coding RNA of Sinocyclocheilus grahami, 553 nucleotides long. RefSeq lists it as uncharacterized. The record is from RefSeq and is a predicted model, not a curated record. The transcript is spliced from 3 exons. Lineage: Eukaryota; Metazoa; Chordata; Actinopteri; Cypriniformes; Cyprinidae.
UUUUAUGUAAUUAUAAGUUCGGCAAUAAUAAUAAUAAAAAAGAGGGACAGGUGCACUAACACCUCAUGGCAUCACUAACUCAACAAUCUAGUAUGGUUUUCCUCAGCGUUUGCAGUAUCUGCACAAAAGAUAUGUCGGGCAGCUGCUCGAAGAUCUCGCCUUUGGAGAAGACUGUCGAUUUUAUACUUUAAAAAUAUGGUGAACCCCACAUCCUACUGCCAUCUCAACACAGCGGAGACAGUUCUGCUGCUGCGCUGUGCUUCACAAUCUCGCUCUUCUCAGUGGAGACAUCGUUGAGCAAGAGGAUGAGGAAGACCAUGAUGACGGCUCUCUGAACCACACAAGCUAGAAGCAAGAGCAGGGGAACACAUGCGGGACAAUCUGGCUGCCACUGUGUCUGCUCCAAACAUCUGUGUGCUGCUCUCCAUGAGCACGACUAUCUAUGCUCCAGCUGGCUCUGGGGUCCCUGAGGAUGAAGAGACCACAGCAACAUCUGGCACAGAUGAGACAGUAAGAGGUGGAGUGAUGGAGCGUCUCAUCCAUGACACUGGAC